UUGACAAGUAAGAGCAGGGGGGCACCAAGAGAUGUGUGGUUGGAGGUGCACAAAUUGAGGACAAAUUGUGGCUUGGGUGGGGGCAGAAAGAAAGAGCGUGAGGAGGGGUGUGAAAGUGGAAGACAAGGGAACGGAGGCUGAGGAGCAGUGGGGAGGAUGGAAGGAGCCCAGAGGAGGAUACUUGGCUGACUUUCAGGUCGACGAAGAUAUCCAAAAUAAUUUUCUCACAACACGGAGGAGACAGAGCCGAGGCCGAAGGCUGCAGCUCGACAACAGGUGCCCCUUAUUGCCUAAUCACUGUCACUGCAAUGAAUUACAGGUCCGGCCAGACCACCUGCCCUGAAAAUGUCAGUUCCACCUGGCUGCACCAUCAGCAUGGAUGGAUCACUCCAAGCUGUCUGCAGUCAUGCCCAAGAAGGAGAAUGGGUUUCCACCACAGCAAAAACCUGAUGACCUCAAUUACCUGCUCACCUGUGCUAUUUCACCUGGUCCCCUCAAGCCAAUCAAAAGACAUUUCUCUUAUGAUAUUGUGAUCGCUACCAUCACACAUGAUAUUCAAUGGCCUUAGCAUGAUUGGACAAGAUUUAAUGGUGUAUCUGGGACAAGAUAUCGGCAUGUAGAGGAGAAGACUGACACCAGGUUCAGAUGGUGAACUGCUCCACAGUGUUGGAGCGUUGUAAGCAUUUAGGAGAGUGGACAAAAAGAAGAAAUGCAGAAGUGGAGUCCAAAGUUGUGUUGAAAAUUUUGAAAUCUCACAGAUAACAGCCAUGAUAGAUCCAGUGUCUUACUACACCAUACUCUGUAUGCUUGCACUUUGAUUCAGGAAGUAGGUAGCAACAAAUUUCAUGUUUAAAACCAACCACCUUCUAAUCUCCUUAAAAGAUUAUGCCCCUGGAGUAUUUAAAGCACCACUUGCUGGGCUUGUUACUAGCUUUGUGACUUCUUGGAAUCACAUACACACAUCCCAAAAAGGAAUCAAGCAUUUUGAUAGUUGGGAUCUUAAACCUUAGAUACUUCCAUACUGAGAUUAUUACUCACACUUGAUAUCGACCAUCGCUCACAUCAGAUAAAUGCUUUUAAUCUACUAAUAAACAAUUAUUUAAAAAACUUCUUUGAUUGAUGGAUGGAAUUUCUGUUUGCAUGAUCAUAAUUUGAACAAUGUAAUUGGUGAUUUUGUUGCCAGACACUUAAUGUGAUAAUUUUUUAAUACAUACUGAUUGAUUUGAGAUUGCUUUCCAAAUUGAUAGAACUUAGUGACAUGUUCAUUAAUUUUUUAAUUUACAUUUUUAAUUGAUUGGAAAGCAUUUAUUCUUUUGUCAAAUUUUAAGCAUUUUCAUUAUUUUUGUAUUUUUGAUUUUGGGCUCUGAUACUUUUCAUUCAGCAUAUGAUUGAAUACUAUUUAGUUCACUCAUGACUGAUUGCCAAUUGCUGUGGUGUGUCUCUUCUCGUGCAGAUGACACAAAGCUCGAAAAGUAGCCUUACUGAGCUUGAAUCUACCUUCUACAUCUUAAAAAGGUGGAUUUGUACUAAUUCAAUACCCUUACUGUUUGAUCUCCCCUUCACCUGCGUCACUCCAUUAAGAACCAUUAAGAUCUAUGAUCUUAACCUCUCAGCCGAUACAUAAAAUAUAUGCAGGUCAAAUAAAAUAAUUUACUGACUUCAAUAUUUAUUCUUCCUGCUGUCGUGAUACAAAAAACAUAUGUUCAUAAUUCUACCUUAAAAAUAAUACAAUCAGUGGCAUCAACACAGUAAUUUUAGUAAAUGGACUGGACUGCAUUUAUAUAGCCUUAACGGCCACUCAAAGCACAUACAUACAGAGUUUCUCUAUCACAGACACUCACUCAUACACUGACGGUACAUCUGGGGAAGUUUGGGGUCCAGUAUCUUACCCAAGGACAAAUGGACUGGAAGAGCCUGGGACCCAGCAACAGGAGAUAGAGUGUAAAAAACACUAAAUGAUUUCGCAGGUUAUCAGCCUGAUUGUGUAUGCAACACAAGCUAGACACAAAACCCACACAUAAACAUACAAUUCUAACCCAUCUGUUACCACAACCUGGCAACCCACAACCUGAUUCAAGUGGUGUGUGCAGCUUCAAAACAUAUAUAGGAAUUAAUUAACUGUUAAAUUUACAAGCUUAAUAAAAUUUGUUAAUUUCAUUUUCAUGUAAUGUUUAUCAAAUAAAUGACAAAUCAAAAUUGAUUUGAUGAAUUUUGUUAUGUAUUUAUUAUGUGUGUAUGUUAUGAAUAUCAUUUAUGUAUUUGCUUUAAAUUAGAAUAAAUUAACAACCUUAAUGUUGGCAGGUAAUUUAUGAUUAAUAAAUAAGAUUUCAUUCCUAA
This is a long non-coding RNA of Seriola aureovittata, 2337 nucleotides long. RefSeq lists it as uncharacterized. The transcript is spliced from 2 exons. The record is from RefSeq and is a predicted model, not a curated record. Lineage: Eukaryota; Metazoa; Chordata; Actinopteri; Carangiformes; Carangidae.